AUCAGUGCUACGAGACGACGCUGGCGGUGUGCUUCACACAUGCAAGUCGAACGAGGUAGCAAUACCUAGUGGCGGACGGGUGAGUAACGCGUGGGAAUCUGCCUUUAGAUGGGGGAUAACGGGUCGAAAGACUCGCUAAUACCGCAUAUGACGAAAGUUGAAAGGAGUAAUCCGUCUAAAGAUGAGCCCGCGUCCGAUUAGCUAGUUGGUAGAGUAAAAGCCUACCAAGGCGACGAUCGGUAGCUGGUCUGAGAGGAUGAUCAGCCACAAUGGGACUGAGACACGGCCCAUACUCCUACGGGAGGCAGCAGUGGGGAAUUUUACGCAAUGGGCGAAAGCCUGACGUAGCGACACCGCGUGAGCGAAGAAGCCCCUUGGGGUGUAAAGCUCUGUCAGCUGGAACGAAAAAAUGACGGUACCAGCAGAGGAAGCAUCGGCUAACUACGUG
Molecule: ribosomal RNA, 448 nt
Filed under: uncultured bacterium
Lineage: Bacteria
Description: bacterial SSU rRNA
Rfam family: Bacterial small subunit ribosomal RNA
Source: RNAcentral